AGUUAGUAUGGUUACUUGAAAAAUGUCUUGUGUUUUUAUAUGUCACAUAAUUUUCUUCCUUUAAAUAAUAUAUUUCAUAUGAGGUGAAGAUUUAAAACCAAAAUAACCUAAACCUUUGAAUAUGUCUGUAGCAUUUAAAAUGACACAAAUAAUGCUGUUUUUUUACUUAUACUUGUGGAAGUCAGCAGAUUGUCCCUAUCAUUAAACAUAUUGCAAGCUACUAGUGCUAGAUAGAGCUGCUUUACCGCAAGGUAUCUUACUUAUCUUAUUUGAGUAUAAAUAGCAGUAUUUGCUCUCUUUGCAAAGCUAUCAAAGAUACUAACAAUUUAACUGAGAUAGCAAGCAGUAUUACAGCAGGAUGUAAAGGCCUGGCCAAAAGUUGACUGAUUUCACCAUUUCAAGGAGUAAUCUGGAUAGCCAAGUCAUUGUGAUUGGGUUGGACUGGCAAAGCCCACGGUGGUGUAGUUUGUUCUAAUGACAACUAAUGGACUUAAUGCUAUUGCUGUCAGCCCAGAUCUUUCCAUGCACUUACUUAUCCUAUGUGUUCUGCAGGCUUUCUGCUUGAUUUUGUUCCACAUGAAUUUAUACUCAUUCUCUAGACUUCCUGCUGUGUCAGUACUCCCUACCUAUGCUAAGGUCAAUUUAAAUUAACACUGUUAGUAUUCAAAAUACUCUGGGUUAUUUGUAUUAUUAGAAUUUAGUGAAAUUUGAAUAAAUAUCUGCUCCUAUGUCUGUGUCUGAAUUUGUUUAUAUUUCAUUUGACCAAUGAAUGGUGGGUGAGAUAAACCUCUGCCUAACUUCAGGUGCAGAUGAGUUAGGUUUUGGGACACAUAUGUUAAAAUGGGAUUUAUUUUCUCUAGAUAUGCCCAUCUCUGUUCAGCUGAUAGUAGGAGGAGCCUAGAUACAGACUUUAUGCUUCAAGUCAAAAGUUGAGAUGGAUAGAAUUAGGUGAGAUAAAGCCUGCCCUAAAUAUUAUUUCCCUGGAGCUUUAUUGGCAGUCUAGCAGAUGGCUUGAAGGUAGAGAAGCUCUUACUUAAUCCGUUGUUUGUGUCUGAGGAAUUCUGUGAUUCUGGAGAGUUUGGAAUCAUUUUAGUGUCACUGAACUUGGAAGAAUAAUUAACUCUUCUCAUCUAUCAUUUUAGCAUUUCUUUUUUAUAAAUAUAUAUUCAUGUGUUUAAUUGGUUUCAGUAAGCUAAUUACACAAGCACAGUGUGGCAAGGGAUCAGUGUUGGUGAUUAUUGUUAUCUUUUAUUUUUGCAUAAGCAGGUCAGGUUAGUGUGAGUCUCAAGUCUAAUGAAGGAAAAAUUUGGCUAAUUUCCUUGUGUAAGUAGAUUUAGUUGAUUUUCAAAAACUAAAUUCAUUGAUGAGCUUGGUCCUAGGUCCCCCAAAAAUUAAGAAAAUAAUACAGUGAAAUGUUAUUUGGUGCUUUAGAUAAUGUGAGAGACAUACAUUUAUCAUUGCUUACAGGAGAAAAAAAAAUAAAUCUUUGUCAGUUGUUUAUGUAACGAAGCACAUUUUACUAAAUUAAAGCACAGACCUUGCUUUCAAGCAUGGCCUGCUUUGUGGAGGGUUUUAGAAUUGGAUGUUAAGCGAGGCAGCCUGGCUUUUGAUUGAUGGCUAAGCAGGUUCCCUUUGUUUCUGUUGGCAGGGGAAAUUUGGAACUUGUUACAUCUUUUGACCAUGGUUCAGAGCCAUCCAAGGUAGUAAUUUCAGUCCUGCAAUAUGGCACAGAAAUGAAAGGGUAGCAGAGCUUUUCAUACUCUAUAUUGUGGUGGUACCAGAUGUUCAGACAUAAAUUUUCUUUCUUGUUUCAGUUCAGUCCAGAGGAUUGUAUGAAAAUGAGCUCUUUAUCCAUGCUAUUCUUGAAGAUUUUGAGGUUCAGCUGCUAGAGUUGGGUUCAUGUUUUUUGCAUUGAUUUCAGCAAAAAAUAAUCCAUUUUGCUUUAUCUCAGAUAAUUUCCCCACUUUGUCUCUAAACAGCAGCUUACUGAAUUUGCUGUGGUGUCAGACAGAGGUGUAUGUUUUCAUUUAUCAGACAUUGUUUCAGUUUAGUGCAUUAACCACCAUUUUUCUGUAAAAGAUAAAUACAGGGUCAGUCUGGGAAUUCAGUAAGAUUUUUGUCUCCCCAUUCUGAGGCUGACACUGUAUGUGUGUUUUUGAAUGAUUUCCAGUGAUUGAAUCCACCUAGACCUACUGCUUAUUGUCACCACAAACAGCUUAAAGCACUGUAGGACAGCCCGGAGAUGAUGUAUUGCUUGUGAUUGUCCUUUCAUACCAUCUUGCAUAAUGUUUAAAAAAAUGAGACCAAGGUUAUCUAGCCUGUUCUGAUGAAACCAGGAGACCUCUCAAUACCAAAAGACUUCAGUUAAUACCCUGAAACAGCUAUGGGCUCUCAAAAUCACAAUGUCGUUGUUAAAAGUUGGGACUGUCUCAUGAAAUCUGGAUGGGAUGAUGUUAAUAGUAAUACAGAGAUUGUUUUGGUAAUAUGCGUAUUUAUUGAUGAAGAAUUAAAGCUGUACUAAUUUUUAACUUUGAAAUAUCCAUUUUUUUAAUGGGUCUUUAUUUUCAAUCUUGUAAUAUUGUGCCAGCAUAAUUUUUUGGCAAUGAAUAUGAAAAUAUAUUGUUAAUGAUACUGAGUUUGGCCACAGAUGCUAAAUAAUAAUUAUGAUGAAGUGUUUAACUGAAUCCUUGUCUAAAAUUUUUUAAUAAGUUUUUUUUUUAAUGAAGAAAAGCCCUUGCCUGUGAGUUUCUAGGUGUGCAUGGUUACUGCUGUAGAAAUUGCGAGGCUCUUCUGCCGUCUAUGCUGUGAUGUCAUGCUAUAUCCUGUGUGUAAGGAUACAUUAAUAAACAUAAUUCAGUCAAAAAUGGCAUGUAUCUAAGAGGCAGGGAAUUCUUGUGCCUUUUAUAAAGAUUGGGAAAAUUAAAGUUUCAGAUUGAGAGUUUUGAUUCUUAAAACUUCCAUUCCGCAGCUACCUGCAUGUAUGUUGCUUUUAGACUGAAGAUCCUUUACGUACCUAAAAUUCUGCUUUUGGACAGGCUCUCUACUACCAUAGUUUUCAUGGUGCUGCAUAGCUUGGCGUCUGUUAAAUACAUAGAAAAUCUUUUAUGCUCCAUUACAUAGAUGUUCUUCAAUUUGUGUUAGCUGAGAUGUGAGCUCUGGUAAACAUGCUGUGAGCGCAACUUGUGAGGCUUCACACGAACUUCCUAUGAUCCAUUGUUUCAGACAGAGGAUGUGGAUGGGAGUUUCAACGCACAUGUCCUUUCUCUGGGAAACAUUCAGUAACUGUAAAUUUGUAGAUUGCCUGAAGCUACAGGCAUUACCAGCUUUUCUUUUUAAAAUUCAUCUCAGUAUGAAGUAAUUAAGAAAUUGGGAGAAUGAGAGAGAAAAUGUUAUUGUGACUUAGUGGUUAGAUUAGAUAUGUGAAGUAGGGGAAACCUGGGUUUUAAUUUCUAUGCCAUUUAGAAUUUCUGUGUUUUUAUGAAAUGAGUAUUUGAUAUUAAGCAUCUUGAAGUAGAGUUCCAUUUUGUAAGGACAUUGUUCCUUCUCUGAAACGAGGGAUUUGUUCUUUUCUUUAAAAUGAACAAAGUGUGGUCUACCUCACUCUGAGAUGACUGAAGACUAUGAAUCCUAACUGGAAGGAGGUAUCUUUUCAAAUCUCGGGGACGAGAUUUCUGUGUUGAAAAAAAGGGCUGUGAUUGGAUUAACCUGGACAUAUGGCAGCUUUACCUCAGAUUAUUGAGCUUCUCUGUGAUGAAAUACAAAAUAAAGUGCAAGUAUUAAGAGUUCCUUGUUUUAAA
Molecule: long non-coding RNA, 3797 nt
Organism: Pezoporus occidentalis (night parrot)
Lineage: Eukaryota; Metazoa; Chordata; Aves; Psittaciformes; Psittacidae
Exons: 2
Source: RefSeq, a predicted model, not a curated record